AGGACGAACGCUGGCGGCGCGCUUAACACAUGCAAGUCGAACGUGAAGCCCGGGCUUGCCCGGGUGGAAAGUGGCGAACGGGUGCGUAACACGUGAGCAACCUACCCCGAAGACCGGAAUAACCCAAGGAAACUCGGGCUAAUACCGGAUGCCCUCACCUCGUCGCAUGGCGAGAUGAGGAAAUGGAUUCCGCUUCGGGAUGGGCUCGCGGCCUAUCAGCUUGUUGGUGGGGUAACGGCCUACCAAGGCGACGACGGGUAGCUGGUCUGAGAGGAUGUCCAGCCACACUGGGACUGAGACACGGCCCAGACUCCUACGGGAGGCAGCAGUGGGGAAUCUUGCGCAAUGGGCGAAAGCCUGACGCAGCGACGCCGCGUGCGGGAUGACGGCCUUCGGGUUGUAAACCGCUUUCAGCAGGGACGAUUGUGACGGUACCUGCAGAGAAGCCCGGCAACUACGUGCCAGCAGCCGC
Molecule: ribosomal RNA, 472 nt
Filed under: uncultured bacterium
Lineage: Bacteria
Description: SSU rRNA
Rfam family: Bacterial small subunit ribosomal RNA
Source: RNAcentral